GAUGAACGCUGGCGGCGUGCCUAAUACAUGCAAGUCGAGCGAACAGACGAGGAGCUUGCUCCUCUGACGUUAGCGGCGGACGGGUGAGUAACACGUGGAUAACCUACCUAUAAGACUGGGAUAACUUCGGGAAACCGGAGCUAAUACCGGAUAACAUGUUGAACCGCAUGGUUCAACAGUGAAAGGCGGUCUUGCUGUCACUUAUAGAUGGAUCCGCGCCGCAUUAGCUAGUUGGUAAGGUAACGGCUUACCAAGGCAACGAUGCGUAGCCGACCUGAGAGGGUGAUCGGCCACACUGGAGCUGAGACACGGUCCAGACUCCUACGGGAGGCAGCAGUAGGGAAUCUUCCGCAAUGGGCGAAAGCCUGACGGAGCAACGCCGCGUGAGUGAUGAAGGUCUUCGGAUCGUAAAACUCUGUUAUUAGGGAAGAACAAAUGUGUAAGUAACUAUGCACGUCUUGACGGUACCUAAUCAGAAAGCCACGGCUAACUACGUG
Molecule: ribosomal RNA, 497 nt
Filed under: uncultured bacterium
Lineage: Bacteria
Description: partial 16S ribosomal RNA
Rfam family: Bacterial small subunit ribosomal RNA
Source: RNAcentral